Molecule: non-coding RNA, 26 nt
Filed under: Homo sapiens (human)
Lineage: Eukaryota; Metazoa; Chordata; Mammalia; Primates; Hominidae
Source: RNAcentral
UAGCAAUAGCAGGAUGCCUGGUGCAA